AAGCCAUGAUGUAGACAUUGAGACCAAUAGCCCUUGAACCUCUCCCAAGCUUCACUAAAGCUCUCUAGGUUCUUUUGCUGAAAGCUAGAGAUCUCAUUCCUGAUCUU
Molecule: small nucleolar RNA, 107 nt
Organism: Brassica oleracea var. oleracea
Lineage: Eukaryota; Viridiplantae; Streptophyta; Magnoliopsida; Brassicales; Brassicaceae
Rfam family: Plant small nucleolar RNA R71
About the family: R71 is a member of the C/D box family of snoRNAs containing the C (UGAUGA) and D (CUGA) box motifs. Multiple nearly identical copies of this snoRNA have been identified in Arabidopsis, and it is thought to function as a 2'-O-ribose methylation guide for 18S ribosomal RNA.
Source: Rfam